Molecule: long non-coding RNA, 91 nt
Organism: Hibiscus syriacus
Lineage: Eukaryota; Viridiplantae; Streptophyta; Magnoliopsida; Malvales; Malvaceae
Exons: 3
Source: RefSeq, a predicted model, not a curated record
UUAGAUUAUUAUUGCCACGAGGAGUAUAUAUAGUUGGGGAUUUUAUGACAAGAAAAGAGGAUUUACAAGUGGUGAAACCUACAGCUGUAGG